Trachemys scripta elegans is the source of this 554-nucleotide long non-coding RNA. RefSeq lists it as uncharacterized. Lineage: Eukaryota; Metazoa; Chordata; Testudines; Emydidae. The transcript has 3 exons. The record is from RefSeq and is a predicted model, not a curated record.
AUAUACUUCGGUCAACUACCUUUUCUGGCUACCUCUAUUUUUAACAUGGUAGCUAGAUCAGAGCUGGAGUGAGUAUAUCUCCUCAAGCUGGAAUUUAUAUCACUGAUUUGAAGCUAGACAUACCCCAAGACUCUCUAGAUCAGUUCUCCAUGUAUGAAAUGAGUAUAAUAAUACUUUUCUAUUUCACAGGGGUGUUUUGAUGCUCCAUACAUUAAAGACUGCGAGGUGCUCAGAACCAAUGGUAAUGGAGGUCAUAUUGCCUUGCAAACUGAGCUGAAUAAAUCCCACGGGAUACAUCUCUGGAAAAUACCACACAGGAGAAGAAAGCACGUUGCUGCAAUCAACACAUUUUUGGUUUAAGACGGAGAUCCAGGAGGACAGAGUGAUCCAGCCUAAGGCCUAUGCACUAGUGAAGUCCUCAAAAUAGGGUUUGAGUGGGACUUAGGUGGUGCACCCUCUGCACCAAGGGGGAAAUUCACCUCAAACGCUUCUUAUCUAAAGGGUCACUGCAGAGCAAUGAAUGAUACAGCUGGUUUCUACAACAUGCAGCAUUU